CCUCAGUUCCCAAGUAUGAUGAUGGGGUGAUCACAAUGCUGGGUGAGAUGUGCUUCCCUCUAAACCUUCUUAUGAUGUUUUGAUCACAUUACCCACCUGAU
Molecule: small nucleolar RNA, 101 nt
Filed under: Marmota monax (woodchuck)
Lineage: Eukaryota; Metazoa; Chordata; Mammalia; Rodentia; Sciuridae
Rfam family: Small nucleolar RNA U13
Source: RNAcentral